Molecule: long non-coding RNA, 1449 nt
Filed under: Salmo salar (Atlantic salmon)
Lineage: Eukaryota; Metazoa; Chordata; Actinopteri; Salmoniformes; Salmonidae
Description: lncRNA (ENSSSAG00000085167.1, ENSSSAG00000105820.1)
Source: RNAcentral
AUCAGCACCCGUGUUAAAGGAGUACCUGAUGAAUGGAAAGGAUGGAACACACUCCAGGAAUAAUUUAAGUCUCUCUCAGGGAGAAAUCUCCAGCUCUGGUCCCCUACCAGCAGCACAGGGAACUGUGGAGUCAGCUUUACCCUCUGUCACCAUGGAGGAGCUACCCUCCACCUCGCCAUCAACACCUUGGCCAGCACCAACAGUGCCACCCCAACCCAUCACCUCCCGUCCUGCACCAUCUCACUCUGGCUCUACACCCCAACCCAUCACCUCCCGUCCUGCACCAGCUCACUCAAUCCAGGCUCAAUCAAUGAAUCAAAUUUAUUUUAUAAAGCCCUUUUUACAUCAGCAGUUGUCACAAAGUGCUUUACAAAUACCUAGCUUAAAACCCCAAAUAGCAAGCAAUGCAGAUGCACUCUCUGGCUGUAAACCCCAACCCAUCACCUCCUGUCCUGCACCAUCUCACUCCAUCCACUCUGGCUCUACACCCCAACCCAUCACCUCCUGUCCUGCACCAUCUCACUCUGGCUCUACACCCCAACCCAUCACCUCCUGUCCUGCACCAUCUCACUCCAUCCACUCUGGCUCUACACCCCAACCCAUCACCACCUGUCCUGCACCAUCUCACUCUGGCUCUACACCCCAACCCAUCACCUCCUGUCCUGCACCAUCUCACUCCAUCCACUCUGGCUCUACAUCCCAACCCAUCACGUCUGGCUGGACACCACAGGGCCCCCAAGCCAAUCUGUUCCAACAAAUCCUGGACACACAAACACAACAAAUCCAUGUUACACAGACCGCCCAACACAUCCACCAAGCUCUUUAUGAUUUAUUACAAAAAGCACAUGAAACACAGAAGGCACACCUGGAUGUGGAGAAGAACCGGCUCCAGCUGGAUAGAGAGCGCUUGAGGGUGGAGACAGAGCGCCUGCAGGUGGAGAGGGAGCGCCUUCAGCUGGAGAAGGAUCGCCUGGGGGAAGGGGAGGCCCGGGAGGUGCUUCGGCAGCUCUCUGUCUCCGGGUCAGUCGCCCUAGAACACCAGACGCCUGUGAGUUCAAGAACUGCCAGUGCCUCCCCCACCCUUCCUCUGGGAACACCAUCAGCCUCCAUGUCCAGUCCCCUCACAUUAAUAUCACCUACUGCACCACACUUUGAUUUCUUAUUUUCCCCAUUCCCAUUACCGGUAAUCACAACCCAUUCCACCCAGCCUUCACAAACUGCCCCAACCCCCCUACCUUAACCAGCCCUGCCCCAACCUCCCCUACCUUAACCAGCCCUGCCCCAACCUCCCCUACCUUAACCAGCCCUGCCCCAACCUCCCCUACCUUAACCAGCCCUGCUCCAACCACCCCUACCUUAACCGUUUCUGCCCACUCUCUCAUCCCUACAAUCUCCGGAUCUGUUAAACGGCGAGUUCAGGAGACAGUCCGGCCUUGGUCUACACCCACU